AGGAUGAACGCUGGCGGUCUGCUUAACACAUGCAAGUCGAACGGAGUAGCAAUACUUAGUGGCGGACGGGUGAGUAACGCGUGAGAAUCUACCUUCAGGACGGAGACAACAGUUGGAAACGACUGCUAACCCCCGAUGUACCGCAAGGGCAAAUAUUUAUAGCCUGAAGAAGAGCUCGCGUCCGAUUAGCUAGUUGGAGAGGUAAAAGCUCACCAAGGCGACGAUCGGUAGCUGGUCUGAGAGGACGAUCAGCCACACUGGGACUGAGACACGGCCCAGACUCCUACGGGAGGCAGCAGUGGGAAUUUUCCGCAAUGGGCGAAAGCCUGACGGAGCAAGACCGCGUGGGGGAAGAAGGCUCUUGGGUUGUAAACCCCUUUUCUCUGGGAAGAACGCAAUGACGGUACCAGAGGAAUCAGCAUCGGCUAACUCCGUGCCAGCAGCCGC
This 447-nucleotide ribosomal RNA is filed under the name uncultured bacterium. Its description in RNAcentral is "SSU rRNA". It matches the Rfam family "Bacterial small subunit ribosomal RNA", at positions 26 to 518 of the family's 1533-position model. The record is from RNAcentral.